This 500-nucleotide ribosomal RNA is filed under the name uncultured Winogradskyella sp. RNAcentral's name for it is "bacterial SSU rRNA". It matches the Rfam family "Bacterial small subunit ribosomal RNA", at positions 523 to 1027 of the family's 1533-position model. The record is from RNAcentral. Lineage: Bacteria; Pseudomonadati; Bacteroidota; Flavobacteriia; Flavobacteriales; Flavobacteriaceae.
AUACGGAGGAUGCAAGCGUUAUCCGGAAUCAUUGGGUUUAAAGGGUCCGUAGGUGGAUCGGUCAGUCAGAGGUGAAAUCCUGCAGCUCAACUGUAGAACUGCCUUUGAUACUGCCGGUCUUGAAUUACUGUGAAGUGGUUAGAAUAUGUAGUGUAGCGGUGAAAUGCAUAGAUAUUACAUAGAAUACCGAUUGCGAAGGCAGAUCACUAACAGUAUAUUGACACUGAUGGACGAAAGCGUGGGGAGCGAACGGGAUUAGAUACCCCGGUAGUCCACGCCGUAAACGAUGGUCACUAGCUGUUCGGACUUCGGUCUGAGUGGCUAAGCGAAAGUGAUAAGUGACCCACCUGGGGAGUACGUUCGCAAGAAUGAAACUCAAAGGAAUUGACGGGGGCCCGCACAAGCGGUGGAGCAUGUGGUUUAAUUCGAUGAUACGCGAGGAACCUUACCAGGGCUUAAAUGUAGAUUGCAUUAGUUGGAGACAGCUAUUUCUUCGGACC